UACGGAGGGUGCAAGCGUUAUCCGGAUUCACUGGGUUUAAAGGGUGCGCAGGCGGAUUUGUAAGUCAGUGGUGAAAGCCCCGGGCUCAACCUGGGAAUUGCCGUUGAUACUGCAAGUCUUGAGUAUAGUUGAGGUGGGCGGAAUACAUCAUGUAGCGGUGAAAUGCUUAGAUAUGAUGUAGAACACCGAUUGCGAAGGCAGCUCACUAAACUAUAACUGACGCUCAGGCACGAAAGCGUGGGUAUCAAACAGG
Molecule: ribosomal RNA, 253 nt
Filed under: uncultured bacterium
Lineage: Bacteria
Description: partial 16S ribosomal RNA
Rfam family: Bacterial small subunit ribosomal RNA
Source: RNAcentral